UAAGACGUAGGGUGCAAGCGUUGUCCGGAUUUACUGGGCGUAAAGAGCGCGUAGGCGGUCUGUUAAGUGUGAAGUGAAAUCUCCAGGGCUCAACCCGGAAACGGCUUCGCAUACUGGCAGACUGGAGGGAUGCAGAGGUGAGUGGAAUUCCUGGUGUACCGGUGAAAUGGGUAGAUAUCAGGAGGAACACCCGUGGCGAAGGCGGCUCACUGGGCAUCUCCUGACGCUGAGGCGCGAAAGUGUGGGUAGCAAACAGGAUUAGAUACCCUGGUAGUCCACACCCUAAACGAUGGAUACUAGGCGUAAGAGGUAUCGACCCCUCUUGUGCCGCAGCUAACGCACUAAGUAUCCCGCCUGGGGAGUACGGCCGCAAGGUUG
RNAcentral lists this ribosomal RNA (378 nucleotides) under uncultured bacterium. Its description in RNAcentral is "bacterial SSU rRNA". It matches the Rfam family "Bacterial small subunit ribosomal RNA", at positions 521 to 896 of the family's 1533-position model. The record is from RNAcentral.